Molecule: ribosomal RNA, 491 nt
Filed under: uncultured bacterium
Lineage: Bacteria
Description: partial 16S ribosomal RNA
Rfam family: Bacterial small subunit ribosomal RNA
Source: RNAcentral
AGUGAACGCUGGCGGUAGGCCUAACACAUGCAAGUCGAACGGCAGCACAGUAAGAGCUUGCUCUUACGGGUGGCGAGUGGCGGACGGGUGAGGAAUACAUCGGAAUCUACUUUUUCGUGGGGGAUAACGUAGGGAAACUUACGCUAAUACCGCAUACGACCUACGGGUGAAAGCAGGGGAUCUUCGGACCUUGCGCGAUUGAAUGAGCCGAUGUCGGAUUAGCUAGUUGGCGGGGUAAAGGCCCACCAAGGCGACGAUCCGUAGCUGGUCUGAGAGGAUGAUCAGCCACACUGGAACUGAGACACGGGCCAGACUCCUACGGGAGGCAGCAGUGGGGAAUAUUGGACAAUGGGCGCAAGCCUGAUCCAGCCAUACCGCGUGGGUGAAGAAGGCCUUCGGGUUGUAAAGCCCUUUUGUUGGGAAAGAAAAGCAGCAGGUUAAUACCCCGCUGUUCUGACGGUACCAAAGAAUAAGCACCGGCUAACUUCGUG